ACGGGUGCGUAACGCGUGGGAAUCUGCCCCUUGGUUCGGAAAACAGCGAGAAAUUGCUGCUAAUACCGGAUGAUGACUUCGGUCCAAAGAUUUAUCGCCAAGGGAUGAGCCCGCGUAAGAUUAGGUAGUUGGUGGGGUAAUGGCCUACCAAGCCGACGAUCUUUAGCUGGUCUGAGAGGAUGAUCAGCCACACUGGGACUGAGACACGGCCCAGACUCCUACGGGAUGCAGCAGUGGGGAAUAUUGGACAAUGGGCGAAAGCCUGAUCCAGCAAUGCCGCGUGAGUGAUGAAGGCCUUAGGGUUGUAAAGCUCUUUUACCAGGGAUGAUAAUGACAGUACCUGGAGAAUAAGCUCCGGCUAACUCCGUGCCAGCAGCCGCGGUAAUACGGAGGGAGCUAGCGUUGUUCGGAAUUACUGGGCGUAAAGCGCACGUAGGCGGCUACUCAAGUCAGAGGUGAAAGCCCGGGGCUCAACCCCGGAACUGCCUUUGAAACUAGGUAGCUAGAAUCUUGGAGAGGUCAGUGGAAUUCCGAGUGUAGAGGUGAAAUUCGUAGA
Molecule: ribosomal RNA, 556 nt
Filed under: Novosphingobium sp. HRRK138
Lineage: Bacteria; Pseudomonadati; Pseudomonadota; Alphaproteobacteria; Sphingomonadales; Sphingomonadaceae
Description: bacterial SSU rRNA
Rfam family: Bacterial small subunit ribosomal RNA
Source: RNAcentral